CGCUGGCGGCACGCUUAACACAUGCAAGUCGAACGGUGAAGAGAAGCUUGCUUCUUGGAUCAGCGGCGGACGGGUGAGUAACGCGUGAGUAACCUGCCCUUAGGAGGGGGAUAACACAUCGAAAGGUGUGCUAAUACCGCAUGAUAUAUAUUAGCCGCAUGACUGAUAUAUCAAAGAUUUAUCGCCUAAGGAUGGACUCGCGUCUGAUUAGAUAGUUGGUGGGGUAACGGCUCACCAAGGCGACGAUCAGUAGCCGGUCUGAGAGGAUGAACGGCCACAUUGGGACUGAGACACGGCCCAGACUCCUACGGGAGGCAGCAGUGGGGAAUCUUCCGCAAUGGACGAAAGUCUGACGGAGCAAUGCCGCGUGAGUGAUGAAGGUUUUCGGACCGUAAAGCUCUUUUGUUUAUGACGAAUGUGCAUGAUGUGAACAAUGUUGUGUAAUGACGGUAGUAAACGAAUAAGCCACGGCUAACUACGUG
Molecule: ribosomal RNA, 482 nt
Filed under: uncultured bacterium
Lineage: Bacteria
Description: bacterial SSU rRNA
Rfam family: Bacterial small subunit ribosomal RNA
Source: RNAcentral